AGUGAACGCUGGCGGUAGGCCUAACACAUGCAAGUCGAACGGCAGCACAGUAAGAUCUUGCUCUUACGGGUGGCGAGUGGCGGACGGGUGAGGAAUACAUCGGAAUCUACUUUUUCGUGGGGGAUAACGUAGGGAAACUUACGCUAAUACCGCAUACGACCUACGGGUGAAAGCAGGGGAUCUUCGUACCUUGCGCGAUUGAAUGAGCCGAUGUCGGAUUAGCUAGUUGGCGGGGUAAAGGCCCACCAAGGCGACGAUCCGUAGCUGGUCUGAGAGGAUGAUCAGCCACACUGGAACUGAGACACGGUCCAGACUCCUACGGGAGGCAGCAGUGGGGAAUAUUGGACAAUGGGCGCAAGCCUGAUCCAGCCAUACCGCGUGGGUGAAGAAGGCCUUCGGGUUGUAAAGCCCUUUUGUUGGGAAAGAAAAGCAGCAGGUUAAUACCCCGCUGUUCUGACGGUACCCAAAGAAUAAGCACCGGCUAACUUCGUG
Molecule: ribosomal RNA, 492 nt
Filed under: uncultured bacterium
Lineage: Bacteria
Description: partial 16S ribosomal RNA
Rfam family: Bacterial small subunit ribosomal RNA
Source: RNAcentral